Non-coding RNA from Pimephales promelas (fathead minnow), 1115 nucleotides. The record is from RefSeq and is a predicted model, not a curated record. NCBI's taxonomy places the organism in Eukaryota, Metazoa, Chordata, Actinopteri, Cypriniformes, Leuciscidae.
CAAAAAUUCAACAAACAGACAUCACUUCGUAAGAGACACUCUGAGUCAAAUUAAUAAAAGGAAAAGGUUUAUUAUUCUUGCAAGAACAAUAAGGCUCAGUCACCAACACAGAUUACUGCGAAGUGGAGUGACGCCCAGAACACAGGCCGGGGUGAAGACUAAAUAGCCCUCCCCAAGGUUAUUUACUGCAAGCCGAGCCUUCUCUGUAAAUUUCCACAAAGUUAUAGGAUUCAUGAUGCCAGGUUAGAUUUACUAACCCUCUCAACCCCUCCCAGUCUAAGAUGACCCCUGAGUCUGACCCGGCCGGUCCUCUGGUGCCUAGCUCCACUCUUGAUAAGGGAGAACAAUUAAUACAUGUGAGAUUAAAAUUCCCCACAACAAUUCCCCCCUGUUUAUCAUUAGCUUACCCAUAAUCAUAAUAAUAAACAAAGACAAAUUUUAAGCCCAACAUCACAUUUAUACCCUUCAAUUGAUUUUCGCAUAAAUGACCACUCUGCUUAAACAUCUGUUGAAAAAAUAGUAUUUGUAAAAGAAGAAAGCUUAAGGCUGUUUUUGCGGAGUAAAGCUCCAUUAAUUGUCUAGCAAGCAAGUAAAGCAUUUUAUUUGAAGCCGGGCUAAAUGAAUAAUCACUGUUAUUGCACUCCUGAUAAAAAUCAGACCCUUAGUCACUCCAAAUAUAUAAGAAAUAGGUUAUAGAUUAGCAAGAAAAACAACCAACAAAACCCCAUAAUUGUUCCAAUAUGAUAUUAAAAUACACCAAAAUGCAGCAGUCCUAUCGCUACAAUUGGCAGUACCGUCUGGAUUAUCCAGUACACCCAUCCUCCCCACAUAGACAUGAACCACCCAACCCAUGCCCCAUUAGCAUGUUCAGGCUCCUUUACCACCUGUCUCAUGUGUUCAAUCCACCAGUUAUGUUGUCACUGUAGUCUGGAAUGUUAAAACAACACUUCUAAUUCAAUUUAGUAAGCCCUAUUGAAUGCUUGUUAACAAAUCUUACCAGAUAAGUCUUAUAAUUUUAUCCUUUCCUGUAACCAAAUUAGUUGUUCAAAAUGAACUCUAAUAUCUCUAGUACAGACACAUCGAUCAAUACAUUUCCUAUAUUUGCACCAAUCAAA